This 897-nucleotide ribosomal RNA is filed under the name Triticum aestivum (bread wheat). RNAcentral describes it as "partial small subunit ribosomal RNA". The record is from RNAcentral. Lineage: Eukaryota; Viridiplantae; Streptophyta; Magnoliopsida; Poales; Poaceae.
AUGACAAGCGUGACCAAAAAUCAGUUUGGUUUCAUGCCUGGGAGGUCGACCAUGGAAGGCAUUUUCUUGGUACGACAACUUAUGAAGAGAUAUAGGGAGCAUAAGAAGGACUUGCAUAUGGUGUUCAUUAACUUGGAGAAGGCCUAUGAUAAGAUACCGCGGAAUGUCAUGUGGUGGGCCUUGGAGAAACACAAAGUCCCAGCAAAGUACAUUACCCUCAUCAAGGACAUGUACAAUAAUGUGACAAGUGUUCGAACAAGUGAUGUCGACACCGAUGACUUCCCGAUUAAGAUAGGACUGCAUCAGGGGUCAGCUUUGAGCCCUUAUCUUUUUGCAUUGGUGAUGGAUGAGGUCACAAGGGGUAUACAAGGAGAUAUCCCAUGGUGUAUGCUCUUUGCGGAUGAUGUGGUGCUAGUUGACGAUAGUCGGACGGGGGUAAAUAGGAAGUUAGAGUUAUGGAGACAAACCUUGGAAUCGAAAGGGUUUAGGCUUAGUAGAACUAAAACCAAGUACAUGAUGUGCGGUUUCAGUACUACUAGCUGUGAGGAGGAGGAGGUUAGCCUUGAUGGCCAGGUGUUACCUCAGAAGGACACCUUUCGGUAUUUGGGGUCAAUGUUGCAGGAGGAUGCGGGUAUUGAUGAAGAUGUGAACCAUCGAAUCAAAGCCGGAUGGAUGAAGUGGCGCCAAGCUUCUGGCAUUCUCUGUGACAAGAGAGUGCCACAAAAGGUAAAAGGAAAGUUCUACAGGACGGCGGUUCGACCCGCAAUGUUGUAUGGCACGGAGUGUUGGCCGACUAAAAGGCGACAUGUUCAACAGUUAGGUGUGGCGGAGAUGCGUAUGUUGAGAUGGAUGUGUGGCCACACGAGGAAGGAUCGAGUCCGGAAUGAUGAUAUAUGA